Molecule: ribosomal RNA, 305 nt
Filed under: uncultured bacterium
Lineage: Bacteria
Description: bacterial SSU rRNA
Rfam family: Bacterial small subunit ribosomal RNA
Source: RNAcentral
UUGUCCCUACGGGAGGCAGCAGUGAGGACUAUUGGUCAAUGGCCGCAGGGCUGAACCAGCCACGUCGCGUGAGGGAUGACGGUCCUAUGGAUUGUAAACCUCUUUUGUCAGGGAGCAAAGGGCGCCACGUGUGGCGCUUUGCGAGUACCUGAAGAAAAAGCAUCGGCUAACUCCGUGCCAGCAGCCGCGGUAAUACGGAGGAUGCGAGCGUUAUCCGGAUUUAUUGGGUUUAAAGGGUGCGCAGGCGGAAUGUCAAGUCAGCGGUAAAAUGUCGGGGCUCAACCCCGUCGUGCCGUUGAAACUGG